This is a non-coding RNA of Perca flavescens (yellow perch), 451 nucleotides long. The record is from the annotation of a RefSeq genome assembly. NCBI's taxonomy places the organism in Eukaryota, Metazoa, Chordata, Actinopteri, Perciformes, Percidae.
AUGUUCUCUGUAGCUCUGAUACUGCUGCUGGCUGCUGGAUCCUGUGUGAACAGUAUUGAUCUCAUCCAGACAGACUCAAUGGUUGUGCAGCCUGGACAGUCUCUGACCAUCAGCUGUCAGGUCUCUGGUUAUUCUUUGACUGAUAACAGCUAUGCAACAGGUUGGAUCAGACAGAGUGAAGGAAAACCAAUGGACUGGAUUUCCUAUCAGUGGGGAACAAGUGGCCUUUACCAAAUGCUCUUGUCCAACUCUGAAGAAAGAGUUCAGCUACAGCAGAGACACUUCUGCUCUAACAGUGACUCUAAAAGGACAGAAUGUGCAGCCUGAGGACACAGCUGUGUAUUACUGUGUACGUUACCCCACAGUGAUACAAACCACCAACAGACCUGCACAAAUACCCAGCAACCAGCAAGACUCAACCACACACACAUGUUCUAAAUGUGAACAUUAA